UGAGCAAUCUGCCCUUCUCAUCGGAAUAAGCGUUGGAAACGACGUCUAAUGCCGAAUACGACCUCCUUUCGCAUGAUCGGAGGUGGAAAGCUCCGGCGGAGAAGGAUGAGCUCGCGGCCUAUCAGCUAGUUGGUGUGGGUAACGCCCACCAAGGCGACGACGGGUAGCCGGCCUGAGAGGGUGACCGGCCACACUGGGACUGAGACACGGCCCAGACUCCUACGGGAGGCAGCG
This 234-nucleotide ribosomal RNA is filed under the name uncultured bacterium. RNAcentral describes it as "partial 16S ribosomal RNA". It matches the Rfam family "Bacterial small subunit ribosomal RNA", at positions 118 to 353 of the family's 1533-position model. The record is from RNAcentral.